This 253-nucleotide ribosomal RNA is filed under the name uncultured bacterium. Its description in RNAcentral is "partial 16S ribosomal RNA". It matches the Rfam family "Bacterial small subunit ribosomal RNA", at positions 524 to 776 of the family's 1533-position model. The record is from RNAcentral.
UACGGAGGAUCCAAGCGUUAUCCGGAUUUAUUGGGCUUAAAGGGUGCGUAGGCGGCCUAUUAAGUCAGGUGUGAAAGACGGUAGCUUAACUAUCGCAGUGCCUUUGAUACUGAUGGGCUUGAAUGUACUUGAGGUAGGCGGAAUGUGACAAGUAGCGGUGAAAUGCAUAGAUAUGUCACAGAACACCAAUUGCGAAGGCAGCUUACUAAAGUAUGAUUGACGCUGAGGCACGAAAGCGUGGGGAUCAAACAGG